RNAcentral lists this long non-coding RNA (1067 nucleotides) under Marmota monax (woodchuck). The record is from RNAcentral. Lineage: Eukaryota; Metazoa; Chordata; Mammalia; Rodentia; Sciuridae.
GUAAACUUGAUUGUCAUGUCCUUGGCUGUCUUGUCUUUGUAAAUUUAUUUAUGUAAUUAUAAAUUAAACCAGAUUUCCUAGUGCUUCUUGAUCUGUUGGCUCAUUCUGCUGCUCUGGAGAUGUUCUCAUCUAUCAUCGAGUUUCUCUUCUAUUUCCUUCCUCCUCUCCUUCUGGAACUUCAGCUACAACCAUGUUAGAGGUUUCAACAUGUGUUGGGUAUAUUAUGCUCUUUUCUAUAUUUUUCUCUGACCACAAACUUUUUUGUUCACUUACUCUCUCCAUCUGUGUUGAAUCUGCUGUUAAACUCACCCAGUGAGUUCAUAAUUUCAUACCUUAUUUUUUUUUGCAUUUCUAAUAUUUCCAUUUCAUAUUUCUCAGUAGAUUCCAACGUGUGACAUACAUCUCCAUCUUACAAUUUACUUCUUAAAAUGUACUAAUGAAGCCCACAUUUGAUGGUUUCUUUCUGGUGUACCACAAGCCUUCCUGUGUGUGUGCAUGUGUGUGCAAACACCUGCACACAUUCCAUGCUUUUUCAUUGACUUUGAUCUCCCCCAGUGAUUUCUGACUGGGGUUUUGUUUUCAAUGCCAUUUGUAAAGACACUCUGGGGCUCCAGAUGCUCUGUCUUCCUCUACAGUGCAUCUGAUCUUUCUCCCCGCAGGCAGCUAGGCAGGAGCAGUGUUCUCAAUUCAGCGCUCGGGGUUCAUUCUUGAGGGAAAACCCACCCCCAGAUACUUGUGUCCAUCUCCACCCUGUGUGGAGCCCAGGGCUCUCCUCACUGGCCAGCCCUUCUUCUGCAGAGUCCCACCCUGUCAGCUGCCCUGUGCAAAUGGCAAGUGCCAGUCCUGCUUUCCUCCCCCAGUCUGUCCUCCCAUUUCUUUUAGACUUAGCUGCUCACAGCCUUCCUUCCAUGACAGCCGUGCAAUGCCCACCUCUCCUGGCUGUUCUUGAGGGGGGCUUGUUCAGCCACCCACCUGCCACUUCAGGGCCAGGGGCAUCCCUGGUCCUCCCAUCCACACCCUAGGGAGACCCUCCUCAAUACCUGAUCUGGAAUAAGCACCCCCCAAAG